RNAcentral lists this unclassified non-coding RNA (519 nucleotides) under uncultured Glomus. Its description in RNAcentral is "SSU rRNA". It matches the Rfam family "Eukaryotic small subunit ribosomal RNA", at positions 569 to 1093 of the family's 1831-position model. The record is from RNAcentral. Lineage: Eukaryota; Fungi; Glomeromycota; Glomeromycetes; Glomerales; Glomeraceae.
CGCAGCCGCGGUAAUUCCAGCUCCAAUAGCGUAUAUUAAAGUUGCUGCAGUUAAAAGCUCGUAGUUGAAUUUCGGGAUCAAUAUGUUGGUCGUGCCUCGGUACGUACUAGCUUAUUGGUUUCUUCCUUCUGACGAACCAUAAUGUCAUUUAUUUGGUGUUAUGGGGAAUCAGGACUGUUACUUUGAAAAAUUAGAGUGUUUAAAGCAGGCUCACGCUUGAAUACAUUAGCAUGGAAUAAUGAAAUAGGACGUUUGAUUCUAUUUUGUUGGUUUCUAGGAUCGACGUAAUGAUUAAUAGGGAUAGUUGGGGGCAUUAGUAUUCAAUUGUCAGAGGUGAAAUUCUUGGAUUUAUUGAAGACUAACUACUGCGAAAGCAUUUGCCAAGGAUGUUUUCAUUAAUCAAGAACGAAAGUUAGGGAUCGAAGACGAUCAGAUACCGUCGUAGUCUUAACCAUAAACUAUAGCCGACUAGGGAUCGGAUGAUGUUAAUUUUUAAUGUACUCAUUCGGCGCCUUAACC